RNAcentral lists this ribosomal RNA (323 nucleotides) under uncultured Bacillota bacterium. Its description in RNAcentral is "bacterial SSU rRNA". It matches the Rfam family "Bacterial small subunit ribosomal RNA", at positions 28 to 351 of the family's 1533-position model. Lineage: Bacteria; Bacillati; Bacillota. The record is from RNAcentral.
GACGAACGCUGGCGGCGUGCCUAACACAUGCAAGUCGAGCGGGGAGAUCCUUCGGGGUCUUCUAGCGGCGGACGGGUGAGUAACGCGUGAGCAACCUUUCCUUCACAGGGGGAGUAACACAGCGAAAGCUGUACUAAUACCGCAUAAGACCACGGGAUCACAUGAUCCAGGGGUCAAAGGAGAAAUCCAGUGAAGGGUGGGCUCGCGUCUGAUUAGCUAGUUGGUGAGGUAACGGCCCACCAAGGCAACGAUCAGUAGCCGACCUGAGAGGGUGAUCGGCCACACUGGGACUGAGACACGGCCCAGACUCCUACGGGUGGCUG